AGAAGGCAGGAAAGAAGAGCAAUGCCCCGAAAGAAGAAGUAAGUCUUGUCUCUCAGCCCUUUGGUGUCCCAAGCAGCAGUUGCCAUGGCCAAGUUUUCCCAGCCCAGCUGCUGCCAGCAUCUCCCCAGCUUGCCAUUGCCACCUUCCUGGGUGAGGCGCGCGCGUAUUUGCCAUUGGCACUGUUGCCCAUCCCUGAGAGUGGCAAGCAGUGCAUAGGUCCAGCACGAGAGAGGGGAGAGGACAAGCGAGAGGGGCAAGGGCUGAGGAGCAUGGCUGAAGCUGGAGCAGGUGCCUGCAGGAGUCUCUGUGCCUGCCUGCCUCGGUGCUGCGGGGGCCGUCAAGGAGAAGCCUGAGGUCAGUCACGGGUAGCCGUGAUAGUAGGCUAUGGAGUGGUCCUUCUGCUGCUGCACGAAGAAUUGCAUGGGGCCGAUCUUCGUCUGGUGGGCCGCCUGCUGCCGCUCCUCCUGGGCCAGUUUCUUCAGGUGCUCCCGCUCGGGACGCUGCUGCAGCGUGAUGGGCACCGACUCCUCCAGCAUCUUGGCCCCGAUGGCCGGUGCCGUGGUGCUGUUGGUCGCCGGCUGCUGCCCGCUGCUGCCUGCUUCCCUGCUGCUGCCAGCCACCGUGCUGCUGCCACCCGUCUUCCCCUGGUACGGUCUCUUGCGGCCUUGGCCAGCCUGGCGCUUGGCCCCCCGCUUGGUGCCGGUGGACGCAGGGGCAGCCAGGGGGCUCUUGAGGGGACCCAGGGGGCAUUUGGGCAGGGGUCUCCUAUGGUCACUGCGGCCCUUGGGGUUUGGGCGUUUCUUGGGGGAGCUCGGGGGGGAUUUGGGCUGGGGUCUACUAAGGGCACUGGGGACCUUGGUGUUGGGGCAGGUCUUGAGAGAAUGCUGGGGGGGUUGGGGCAGGGGUCUACUAAGGGCACUGAGGACCUGGGUGUCAGGGAGGCUCCUGGGGGGACUCAGGGGUGGACUGGGUAGGGGGCUCCUAAGCGCACUGAACAGGGGACUGGCUGCAGGGCUGAGCGGGGGGCUCACUGCUGUCAUGAAGGGGGACUGCAGCGACAGCCCACCCUCAAGCUUCUCGGGGCGCACCCCAGGGGUUGAGGGGACCUCACCGAGGGCUCCUGUGGCUUCCAGUCCCUGCGUGCUCGGCUGCUCAAUGUCCUCGCAGAGGUCAGGCAGCUGGGAGUGGAAGCGGCUGAGGGCAGGACUGCUGGGCAAAUCGGCGAAGGCGUCCUGGGGCUCCACGGCAUCGAGCCAGCUGAGCAGCUCCUCCAUGCCGGGGAUGGGGAUGUCCAGGUCGGCCAGGAGCUCGUCCUGCAUGUGCUGCAGCUGCUGGCUGUCCCCUGCCAGCUCUGGAAAGGCCUCGGCCAAGGCAUCAGGGCCCAGCUCGGGCAGCUGCGGGGGCUCCUCAGGCACCUGCGGGGCUGUCACCGCUGAGGACGAAGCAAGAAAAUCCCCCAAGACGGGUGAUGUCAGCUUUCCCAUGGCCCCUGGGUGUGGGGCCACAACCGGCCGGCUGUGCCAGCCCCAAACUCACCGUCGGGUGUCGCCGUCUGGGUGCUGGCAGUCCUUGGAGCCUGGGCAGGCUCAGGGGGAGUGGGGCCGGGCAGCGGGGGCCCCUGGUCCUCGCUGAGCCUUACGGCGUGCAAGCAGGGCUCUGGCAGCUGCCCAAGGCUGCUGCUCAGGGUGCGGGGCAUGGGGAGCACCUGCCUCUGCAGCGGAGGUCCCGGGACGAGGGGUGGCGGGGGGUUGCGCUGGGCGGGGGCCUGCAACAGGCAGGUGCCUGCGGGGUGCAGGAGCUCCCCAUGGAGCACGGCCCUGGGCCCCAGCCCCAGCGCAUGGUGGGGCACCAGUGUCCCUGUCACCAUGGGCUGUCCCCACUGAUGGACGGGGGCACAGGGAGGAGCGGUGUGGGGGAGCUGCCCCACGGCGGGGAGCUGCACCAGCUGCAGCUGGUGCCCCAUUGUUGGGAGCUGCACCAGCUGCAGGUUUUGCCCCACGGCGGGGAGCUGCCUAAGCUGCAGGUGGUGGCCCUCGGCUGGGAUGUGCCCCCAGGUGGCAGCUGCACCCCGGCGGGGAGCUGCAGCACCUGCCCCUGGACCCCCAGCACCACGUGCCAGACAGUGGCCUGGGGCAGCGCGGAGGGGAGGGUGGGUACAUGCGGGGGCUGCAAGGGCACCGCCGUCGCUCCGGGGAGGGAGGGCAGCAGCCAGGCAGCCACCGUUGACGGCACGGCUGCGACGACGAAGGAGGAGUUUUGCGUCUGCGCAACCCGCAGAAGCCGUCUGGGGAAACCCUCUGUGGGAAAAAGGGCGCUGGGCUGAGCUCUGGGGCACUGGGCUCGCCAGCACGGCCGCAGCCCUGGGAGGAGCGGGAGCCGGCUGCUGGACCUGCCAUGGUGGCUGGAGAGUGGGGCGGUUGCUUGGGGAACCCGGGCAACGGGGGUUCCGUCCCAACGGCUGACCAGCCCCUCGACAACAUCUUGGGGAGGACUGCAGGCUUUGGACCCAAGCAGGCUGCCCAGCACAAGACUUGGCCAUCCCCAGCAGGCUUGCCCUCCCACGCAGCACUUGCCAUGCCCACGACGCUUCCACACCGCCUCUUCCCCGUCCUAAGCAUUUCCCACCCCAGUACCAGCUUUCAUCCUCAUGGUCAUUUCCCAUCCUGACAAGUUCACAUGAUAACAGAUUCCCAUACAAAAGAUUUCCCAUCAACACAAAGCGUUUGUUCAUCCAAAGAGAUCUCGUCCCAAAGAAUUCCCCUCUCUUGGAUGACUUUCUCAUGGUUUUCCUACUUCAAUAAAUGUUACCCACCCCAUUCA
This 2820-nucleotide long non-coding RNA is filed under the name Anas platyrhynchos platyrhynchos (common mallard). RNAcentral describes it as "lncRNA (ENSAPLG00000025277.1)". The record is from RNAcentral. Lineage: Eukaryota; Metazoa; Chordata; Aves; Anseriformes; Anatidae.